ACUUUGGGUGGAAGUGGACUUUGGGUUGAAGUGGAGUUUAGGUGAAAAUCAAUUUACUUCCGCUGUUUGUUUCUAACUGUGGAAGUGCAGUUUUGUGAGUUCUGUUGUUUGUUUGGUAGGAAGUAGAUGACGUAAAAAGUGUAGCUCUCCACCCCCGGUAUACUUACCUCCGAAGUGAUAUUAUUGUCUAUUUUGUAACUUAGUGAAUAAUAAAUUAUAAUAAAUAAAAAUUAAUAUAAUUAUAUAUGUAUAUAAUUAUAUAUAUGUAUAAUUAUAAAAUAAAAUUUUUAAAAAUUAUAUUAUUUGUUUGCAUAUAAAUUAUAAUAAUGCAACAAAUAAAAUUCUAAAGUUAAAAAAUUAUUAACAUUUAACAAAUUCAUUUUUCAUCAUUUUCUAAAUAUACAAAUUAGACAAAAAAAUAUAUUAAAACUUACCUAACCAAAUUUGAUCACAUUACCUAACCAAAUUUAACAAGUUCCUUUGCCUCUUUGCACUUCACCGGAAUUGACUUCGCUCCGUGGGAGGGCGAAGUCAAUUAGCCUAUUUUGGGUGAACUCGACUUUCGGCCGUAAUAAAAUUGCGGCAAAACAAACAACGGAAGUGAUAGUAGCAUGCUACCUGCUUCAUUUACUUAGCUGAAAAUGUUACAAUUUUAAAAUUUUAAGAUUUUAAAUUUAAAAUUUUUAACAUAAUUUAAAUUUUGAAAUCUGAAAUUUUAGAUUUUUAAAAAUAAUGUUACAAUUUUAAAUUUUGAAUUUUUUUUAAGAGAAAUGUAGCAUGCUACCUGCUUCAUUUACUUAGCUGAAAAUGUGAAUGAACUAAGAUUCGAACUUGGGACCUCGGAUACCAACCACCAGGCACUUUGUCACUUGCGCUAGGAGAUUAAAAUAUAAAAAUUUAAUAUUUAAAAAAUAAUAUCUAAAUUUAAAAUUAUAAAAUUUAAAAUUUAAAACUUCAAAUUUCAAAUUUCAAAUUUUAAAUUAAAAACAAAAAGUUAAAAUUUAAAAGUUAAAAUUUAUUUUUAAAUUUUCAAAUAUAAACUUAAAUUUUAAAAUUGAAUCUAAAUUUUAAAUUUAAAUUUAAAAUUUGAGUUUAAAAUCAAAGCUGAAAAUGUAAAAUUUCAAAAAUUAGAUUUUAACAACUUAUGAUUUUCAACCACUAAAAUUAUAUACUGAUUAUUAUAAUAAUUAAAAUC
Molecule: long non-coding RNA, 1195 nt
Filed under: Ananas comosus (pineapple)
Lineage: Eukaryota; Viridiplantae; Streptophyta; Magnoliopsida; Poales; Bromeliaceae
Description: long non-coding RNA (ACOM_LNC030401)
Source: RNAcentral